This 29-nucleotide non-coding RNA is filed under the name Homo sapiens (human). The record is from RNAcentral. Lineage: Eukaryota; Metazoa; Chordata; Mammalia; Primates; Hominidae.
UGCAUCUGUGAUCUCAAGUCUCUACUGGA